AGAGUUUGAUCAUGGCUCAGAUUGAACGCUGGCGGCAGGCCUAACACAUGCAAGUCGAACGGUAACAGGAAGCAGCUUGCUGCUUCGCUGACGAGUGGCGGACGGGUGAGUAAUGUCUGGGAAGCUGCCUGAUGGAGGGGGAUAACUACUGGAAACGGUAGCUAAUACCGCAUAAUGUCGCAAGACCAAAGAGGGGGACCUUCGGGCCUCUUGCCAUCGGAUGUGCCCAGAUGGGAUUAGCUUGUUGGUGGGGUAACGGCUCACCAAGGCGACGAUCCCUAGCUGGUCUGAGAGGAUGACCAGCCACACUGGAACUGAGACACGGUCCAGACUCCUACGGGAGGCAGCAGUGGGGAAUAUUGCACAAUGGGCGCAAGCCUGAUGCAGCCAUGCCGCGUGUAUGAAGAAGGCCUUCGGGUUGUAAAGUACUUUCAGCGGGGAGGAAGGGAGUAAAGUUAAUACCUUUGCUCAUUGACGUUACCCGCAGAAGAAGCACCGGCUAACUCCGUGCCAGCAGCCGCGGUAAUACGGAGGGUGCAAGCGUUAAUCGGAAUUACUGGGCGUAAAGCGCACGCAGGCGGUUUGUUAAGUCAGAUGUGAAAUCCCCGGGCUCAACCUGGGAACUGCAUCUGAUACUGGCAAGCUUGAGUCUCGUAGAGGGGGGUAGAAUUCCAGGUGUAGCGGUGAAAUGCGUAGAGAUCUGGAGGAAUACCGGUGGCGAAGGCGGCCCCCUGGACGAAGACUGACGCUCAGGUGCGAAAGCGUGGGGAGCAAAACAGGAUUAGAUACCCUGGUAGUCCACGCCGUAAACGAUGUCGACUUGGAGGUUGUGCCCUUGAGGCGUGGCUUCCGGAGCUAACGCGUUAAGUCGACCGCCUGGGGAGUACGGCCGCAAGGUUAAAACUCAAAUGAAUUGACGGGGGCCCGCACAAGCGGUGGAGCAUGUGGUUUAAUUCGACGCAACGCGAAGAACCUUACCUGGUCUUGACAUCCACGGAAGUUUUCAGAGAUGAGAAUGUGCCUUCGGGAACCGUGAGACAGGUGCUGCAUGGCUGUCGUCAGCUCGUGUUGUGAAAUGUUGGGUUAAGUCCCGCAACGAGCGCAACCCUUAUCCUUUGUUGCCAGCGGUCCGGCCGGGAACUCAAAGGAGACUGCCAGUGAUAAACUGGAGGAAGGUGGGGAUGACGUCAAGUCAUCAUGGCCCUUACGACCAGGGCUACACACGUGCUACAAUGGCGCAUACAAAGAGAAGCGACCUCGCGAGAGCAAGCGGACCUCAUAAAGUGCGUCGUAGUCCGGAUUGGAGUCUGCAACUCGACUCCAUGAAGUCGGAAUCGCUAGUAAUCGUGGAUCAGAAUGCCACGGUGAAUACGUUCCCGGGCCUUGUACACACCGCCCGUCACUCCAUGGGAGUGGGUUGCAAAAGAAGUAGGUAGCUUAACCUUCGGGAGGGCGCUUACCACUUUGUGAUUCAUGACUGGGGUGAAGUCGUAACAAGGUA
RNAcentral lists this ribosomal RNA (1501 nucleotides) under metagenome. RNAcentral describes it as "bacterial SSU rRNA". It matches the Rfam family "Bacterial small subunit ribosomal RNA". The record is from RNAcentral.